RNAcentral lists this ribosomal RNA (492 nucleotides) under uncultured bacterium. RNAcentral's name for it is "partial 16S ribosomal RNA". It matches the Rfam family "Bacterial small subunit ribosomal RNA", at positions 29 to 507 of the family's 1533-position model. The record is from RNAcentral.
AGUGAACGCUGGCGGUAGGCCUAACACAUGCAAGUCGAACGGCAGCACAGUAAGAGCUUGCUCUUACGGGUGGCGAGUGGCGGACGGGUGAGGAAUACAUCGGAAUCUACUUUUUCGUGGGGGAUAACGUAGGGAAACUUACGCUAAUACCGCAUACGACCUACGGGUGAAAGCAGGGGAUCUUCGGACCUUGCGCGAGUGAAUGAGCCGAUGUCGGAUUAGCCAGUUGGCGGGGUAAAGGCCAACCAAGGCGACGAUCCGUAGCUGGUCUGAGAGGAUGAUCAGCCACACUGGAACUGAGACACGGUCCAGACUCCUACGGGAGGCAGCAGUGGGGAAUAUUGGACAAUGGGCGCAAGCCUGAUCCAGCCAUACCGCGUGGGUGAAGAAGGCCUUCGGGUUGUAAAGCCCUUUUGUUGGGAAAGAAAAGCAGCAGGUUAAUACCCCGCUGUUCUGACGGUACCCAAAGAAUAAGCACCGGCUAACUUCGUG